RNAcentral lists this ribosomal RNA (253 nucleotides) under uncultured bacterium. RNAcentral's name for it is "partial 16S ribosomal RNA". It matches the Rfam family "Bacterial small subunit ribosomal RNA", at positions 524 to 776 of the family's 1533-position model. The record is from RNAcentral.
UACAGAGGGUGCGAGCGUUAAUCGGAAUUACUGGGCGUAAAGCGCACGUAGGCGGCUUGGUAUGUCGGGUGUGAAAGCCCCGGGCUCAACCUGGGAAUUGCAUUCGAGACUGCAUUGCUGGAGUACGGAAGGGGAAGGCGGAAUUCCCGGUGUAGCGGUGAAAUGCGUAGAUAUCGGGAGGAACAUCAGUGGCGAAGGCGGCCUUCUGGUCCAGUACUGACACUCAAGUGCGAAAGCGUGGGGAGCAAACAGG